GAUGAACGCUGGCGGCGUGCUUAACACAUGCAAGUCGAACGAUGAAGCCCAGCUUGCUGGGUGGAUUAGUGGCGAACGGGUGAGUAACACGUGAGUAACCUGCCCUUAACUAUGGGAUAAGCCUGGGAAACUGGGUCUAAUACCGGCUAGGAGCGUCCACCGCAUGGUGGGUGUUGGAAAGAAUUAUCGGUUUUGGAUGGCCUCGCGGCCUAUCAGCUUGUUAGUGAGGUGAUGGCACACCAAGGCGUCGACAGGUAGACGGCCUGGGAGGGUGACCGGCCACACUGGGACUGAGACACGGCCCAGACUCCUACGUGAGGCAGCAGUGGGGAAUAUUGCACAAUGGGCGCAAGCCUGAUGCAGCGACGCCGCGUGAGUGAUGACGGCCUUCGGGUUGUAAACCUCUUUCAGUAGGGAAGAAGCGAAAGUGACGGUACCUGCAGAAGAAGCACCGGCUAACUACGUG
This 466-nucleotide ribosomal RNA is filed under the name uncultured bacterium. RNAcentral's name for it is "partial 16S ribosomal RNA". It matches the Rfam family "Bacterial small subunit ribosomal RNA", at positions 28 to 507 of the family's 1533-position model. The record is from RNAcentral.